GAUGAACGCUGGCGGCGUGCCUAAUACAUGCAAGUCGAGCGAACGGACGAGAAGCUUGCUUCUCUGAUGUUAGCGGCGGACGGGUGAGUAACACGUGGAUAACCUACCUAUAAGACUGGGAUAACUUCGGGAAACCGGAGCUAAUACCGGAUAAUAUUUUGAACCGCAUGGUUCAAAAGUGAAAGAAGGUCUUGCUGUCACUUAUAGAUGGAUCCGCGCUGCAUUAGCUAGUUGGUAAGGUAACGGCUUACCAAGGCAACGAUGCAUAGCCGACCUGAGAGGGUGAUCGGCCACACUGGAACGGAGACACGGACCAGACUCCUACGGGAGGCAGCAGUAGGGAAUCUGCCGCAAUGGGCGAAAGCCUGACGGAGCAACGCCGCGUGAGUGAUGAAGGUCUUCGGAUCGUAAAACUCUGUUAUUAGGGAAGAACAUAUGUGUAAGUAACUGUGCACAUCUGGACGGUACCUAAUCAGAAAGCCACGGCUAACUACGU
This 496-nucleotide ribosomal RNA is filed under the name uncultured bacterium. RNAcentral describes it as "partial 16S ribosomal RNA". It matches the Rfam family "Bacterial small subunit ribosomal RNA", at positions 28 to 506 of the family's 1533-position model. The record is from RNAcentral.